RNAcentral lists this ribosomal RNA (316 nucleotides) under uncultured Alphaproteobacteria bacterium. RNAcentral's name for it is "bacterial SSU rRNA". It matches the Rfam family "Bacterial small subunit ribosomal RNA", at positions 154 to 504 of the family's 1533-position model. The record is from RNAcentral. Lineage: Bacteria; Pseudomonadati; Pseudomonadota; Alphaproteobacteria.
AAACUUGAGCUAAUACCGUAUAAUGACUCCGGUCCAAAGNUUUAUCGCCUAAGGAUGAGCCCGCGUCGGAUUAGCUAGUUGGUGAGGUAAAAGCUCACCAAGGCGACGAUCCGUAGCUGGUCUGAGAGGAUGAUCAGCCACACUGGGACUGAGACACGGCCCAGACUCCUACGGGAGGCAGCAGUGGGGAAUAUUGGACAAUGGGCGAAAGCCUGAUCCAGCAAUGCCGCGUGAGUGAUGAAGGCCUUAGGGUUGUAAAGCUCUUUUACCCGGGAUGAUAAUGACAGUACCGGGAGAAUAAGCCCCGGCUAACUCC